GGGCAAGGUGCUGAUCCGCAGGGUCUGCCAGCGGUCGGGAGGCUUUGGGGGGCGUAGGGGAGCUGCCAGCCUUGGACAAAGCAGGUGGCCAAAUGACGUUAUAGCGGAGCAUUGCACAACUUUAAACGAGCAUGUUCUGUAAUGGAGCAGGGAUGUAACAUCGAAACAACGUUAAGCGAGAGGAUGUUACGUGGGGAGUUACUGUACAACCAAUCUUGGGGGGGAAAUUUAGGCUUAAGUUUAUACUGUUAACAUAAGAACAUAAGAAUGGCCCUACUGGGUCAGACCAAGGGUCAAUCUAGCCCAGUAUCCUGUCUUCCGACAGUGGACAAUGCCAGGUGCCCCAGAGGGAAUGAAUAGAACAGGUAAUCAUCAGUUGAUCCAUCCCCUGUCACUCAUUCCCAGCUUCUGGCAGUUUUAUUACCUAUUAAUUAUACUGUUUUAUUAUUUGUUACCAAUAAAUACACCCCCCCCCCAAAAAAGGUGAUAGGUUUGAAUUUUAUACAGUGUGUGUAUAUAUUCCAUUGAGAGAAGGGUGGCAACUCUGUCUACUUGCAUUAACAUUUCUGGAUUCAGGGUCCCUGUCACUGAAAUAUGAUGUAUGUGCCACAUACUACCAGUGUAAUGUGUCAUGUACUACACUGGGGUUUUUUAGUGUAAUAAAGAAAAAUGUCUUCAGUAAUUUUAUAUAUAUAUAUUUAUAUAUUUUUUAGAGCAAGCAAACAUAAGGGAUGACGUGAAAGAGAGAAGACAUACAGAAAGAAAAGUAAAGGAAGGAAAAGUAAGGAAAUGUUUCAUAACAGCAUAAGAUAAGAAAAGUGAGAGCAAAAAUAGUCUUGGUGAGUUUUUAACAAAGAAAGAUGAAGAAGGUGGACAUAGACACAAGUCACACAGAGAUCAAGAACUGAAUAAAGACAAAGGAAGGAGUCAUAGUGAUAAAAGAGAACAUGAACAUUCAGUUAGGGGAGGAAAGGAGAGACCUUCAAAAGAAAGAAGCCAUGAAUUGUUUGUAAAGGAUGGGGAAGAAAAAUAUGUGUCAAGGAGACCUAAAGAAGGAUCCUCCGUUGAAGACAGAGAAAGACAACUGAGAGAGAAUAAUGAAAAAAGACAGAGGGAAGAAAAUGAAAGAAAGAAAAGAGAUCUUAAGGUUAGUUUUUGUAAAACUUAAAAGUUGUAGUUAACAUAUUUUCAGAUAUCUUCAUAUUUCAUCAUACACCCAUUCUGCCUUGAAAAUGCUUUGUUAAAAUACAGUAAACAAAUAUUGAUUUCUGGUGAGAUGAACAUCCAGAGAUAUUGACUCAGAAGG
Molecule: long non-coding RNA, 1306 nt
Filed under: Chrysemys picta bellii (western painted turtle)
Lineage: Eukaryota; Metazoa; Chordata; Testudines; Emydidae
Description: lncRNA (ENSCPBG00000017108.1)
Source: RNAcentral